ACAACGGCCCUUUUCAGGGCCACCAACAUUUUUCAAAAAGAAUCUU
This 46-nucleotide non-coding RNA is filed under the name Mytilus galloprovincialis (Mediterranean mussel). It matches the Rfam family "Histone 3' UTR stem-loop". Rfam says of the family: The mRNAs of metazoan histone genes lack a poly-A tail. 3' end processing occurs at a site between a highly conserved stem-loop (modelled by this family) and a purine rich region around 20 nts downstream (the histone downstream element, or HDE). The record is from RNAcentral. Lineage: Eukaryota; Metazoa; Mollusca; Bivalvia; Mytilida; Mytilidae.